AAAUCCAAUCGUCUUGCAGAAGCUGAGAAUGUGCAGAGAAAGAUCCUGCAUAUUGUAGAACUAUCACAGGGAUGGAAAUCUAUGGACACUGUAAUUGCAGCUGAAAGGCUGGCUCUGACUCUACAGUCAGCUGGCAGCUUAAAGGAAGCACAAGAACUUCUGGAAAGGUGUCUUGACACGCGGAAAACAAUCCUUCCUGAAGAUCACAUUCAGAUUGGUGCGAACAUGCUUCACAUUGCUAGGGUGGCAAUACUGAAAGCGAAUCGACUAAGAAAGAUUCACAUUGCUGAAGCAUUUGCUGAGCUUGAUAGGGCAAGAGAUCUUUUGUACAAUUCAACAAGGAUAGCACGGCAAGUUUUAAACAAAUUGAGAAACCAAAAAGGCAGCAGGCAAAAGAGUAGGGCACCUGAAGAAACCAGAAGGGAGGGGCGUGCAGCAUUGAUCAUACUGUUGCAAUCACUUGAUACUCUUGGGCUUUUGGAGAUCACAAAACAAGAGCUACAGGAAUCAAUGGAAGAGCAUCCUGAUCCACCUUCGUUUGGGACUAAAAGUGCAUUUUUCCAAUGCAUUUCUGCUUACAAAGAGUUUGAAUCUGACAGGUUAAUUUCUGAUUCCCCUGAAGUAAAGGUUGAGUAUCUAUCAUGCUUGAAGCGUCUUUCAAGCUUGAUUAGUAAUGGUGAGGUCAAAGAGAUAGAAGUCUCGAGAAAAGCUACAUUGCAAGAGCUGAAUGAUGAAAUCAAGCGUGUUGAAGGUGAAAUUUCUCGUUACAGGAAACAUAAAUCCAAAGCAGGAGCUUGACUAAUGGUUCAGGCUAAAAUCAAGCAACACUUCUAAAAAUAAUGGUGCUGAGUAUACGCUAAUAACGAAUUAUUUGUGUUUUUUUUUUUUUUUUAACCUUGAUUUAUGUACUUUCUCAUAUCUCUUUUUGCAGCCGNNNNNNNNNNNAUUUCUUAGUUAACAUCUCACUGUUAAUAAGGGUGUCCACUGUCCAGGACUUCGCUUGAGAAGUUCUGGCUUGUAUCAAUAAGCAGGCGGACCUGAACGUGUUUCAACUCAAAUGAGAAAGGCUAUGCAGAAUUA
Molecule: unclassified non-coding RNA, 1080 nt
Filed under: Hevea brasiliensis (rubber tree)
Lineage: Eukaryota; Viridiplantae; Streptophyta; Magnoliopsida; Malpighiales; Euphorbiaceae
Source: RNAcentral